This 352-nucleotide unclassified non-coding RNA is filed under the name soil metagenome. Its description in RNAcentral is "partial contains 5.8S ribosomal RNA, internal transcribed spacer 2, and large subunit ribosomal RNA". The stretch from base 1 to 120 matches the Rfam family "5.8S ribosomal RNA", at positions 35 to 154 of the family's 154-position model. The record is from RNAcentral.
GAUGAAGAACGCAGCGAAAUGCGAUAAGUAAUGAGAAUUGCAGAAUUCAGUGGAUCAUCGAAUCUUUGAACGCACAUUGCGCCCGCCAGUAUUCUGGCGGGCAUGCCUGUUCGAGCGUCAUUACAACCCUCAGGCCCCCGGGCCUGGCGUUGGGGAUCGGCGGAGCCCCCCGUGGGCACACGCCGUCCCCCAAAUGCAGUGGCGGUCCCGCCGCAGCUUCCAUCGCGUAGUAGCUAACACCUCGCGACUGGAGAGCGGCGCGGCCACGCCGUAAAACACCCAACUCUUCUGAAGUUGACCUCGAAUCAGGUAGGAAUACCCGCUGAACUUAAGCAUAUCAAUAAACGGAGGA